RNAcentral lists this ribosomal RNA (500 nucleotides) under uncultured bacterium. RNAcentral describes it as "partial 16S ribosomal RNA". It matches the Rfam family "Bacterial small subunit ribosomal RNA", at positions 30 to 523 of the family's 1533-position model. The record is from RNAcentral.
AUUGAACGCUGGCGGAAUGCUUUACACAUGCAAGUCGAACGGCAGCACGGACUUCGGUCUGGUGGCGAGUGGCGAACGGGUGAGUAAUACAUCGGAACGUGCCCAGUCGUGGGGGAUAACGUAGCGAAAGCUACGCUAAUACCGCAUACGAUCUAAGGAUGAAAGCGGGGGACCGUAAGGCCUCGCGCGAUUGGAGCGGCCGAUGGCAGAUUAGGUAGUUGGUGGGGUAAAGGCUCACCAAGCCGACGAUCUGUAGCUGGUCUGAGAGGACGACCAGCCACACUGGGACUGAGACACGGCCCAGACUCCUACGGGAGGCAGCAGUGGGGAAUUUUGGACAAUGGGCGCAAGCCUGAUCCAGCCAUUCCGCGUGCAGGAUGAAGGCCCUCGGGUUGUAAACUGCUUUUGUACGGAACGAAAAGGCUCUGGUUAAUACCUGGGGCUCAUGACGGUACCGUAAGAAUAAGCACCGGCUAACUACGUGCCAGCCGCCGCAGUAA